UGUAAUUUACUUGAUCUUGACACAAUCCUACUUGGAUAACUGUGGUAAUUCUAGAGCUAAUACAUGCAUUAAAGCUCUGACCUCACGGGAAGAGUGCAUUUAUUAGAACAAAACCAAGCGGCUUCGGCUGUUUCUGGUUGACUCAUAGUAACUGAGCUGAUCGCAUGGUCUUGCACCGGCGACGUGUCUUUCAAGUAUCUGCCGUAUCAACUUUCGAUGGUAGUGUAUCUGACUACCAUGGUGAUCACGCGUAACGGAGAAUAAGGGUUCGGCUCCGGAGAGUUCGCCUGAGAAAUCGCGAACACAUCUAAGGAAGGCAGCAGGCGCGAAAAUUACCCACUCUCAGCACGAGGAGGUAGUGACGAAAAAUAACGAGACCGUUCUCUUAUGAGGCCGGUCAUCGGAAUGGGUACAAUUUAAACCCUUUAACGAGUAUCUAUGAGAGGGCAAGUCUGGUGCCAGCAGCCGCGGUAAUUCCAGCUCUCAAAGUGCAUAGAAUUAUUGCUGCGGUUAAAAAGCUCGUAGUUGGAUCUGUGCCAUAGGACGUGGUCCACCUUCGGGUGCGUACUACGCUCCUAGGCUUUUUGCUGGUUUUCCCGUCGUAGCCUUCACUGGUUGCGGCGGGUGGCUGGCGAGUUUACUUUGAGAAAAUCAGAGUGCUCAAUACAGGCGUAUCGCUUGAAUGAUUGUGCAUGGAAUAAUAGAAAAGGAUUUCGGUCCUCUUUUAUUGGUUUUGUGGACUGAGAUAAUGGUUAACAGGGACAAACGGGGGCAUUCGUAUCUCUGCGUGAGAGGUGAAAUUCUUGGACCGUAGAGAGACGCCCUACUGCGAAAGCAUUUGCCAAGAAUGUCUUCAUUAAUCAAGAACGAAAGUCAGAGGUUCGAA
This 886-nucleotide ribosomal RNA is filed under the name Nematoda environmental sample. Its description in RNAcentral is "SSU rRNA". It matches the Rfam family "Eukaryotic small subunit ribosomal RNA", at positions 111 to 1002 of the family's 1831-position model. The record is from RNAcentral. Lineage: Eukaryota; Metazoa; Nematoda.